Molecule: long non-coding RNA, 384 nt
Filed under: Ananas comosus (pineapple)
Lineage: Eukaryota; Viridiplantae; Streptophyta; Magnoliopsida; Poales; Bromeliaceae
Description: long non-coding RNA (ACOM_LNC030918)
Source: RNAcentral
AAUCAUAUCCGCAUUCAUAUUUUUCUUCGGACGUGAAUAUAUGUCGAAUGCUAAAUUUUCGUUAUCACGUGAUUCGUUUAAAAGAGAUUCGUAUUCGAUUUGUAUUCAAAUAUUAUUCUGAUAAUAAUAUAUAUUAAAAUGCAUAUGUAAUAUGAAUCGAAAUUAAUGCUAUAUAUAUAUAUAAUAAGAUACAAAAUUACAAUAAAGGUUCACAUUCGUAUUUAAAUUUUAUACUAUCUUAUUUUUUAUUCAAUUUUAAUAUUUUAACAAAUACAAAUAUAUUUUUUAAUAUAAAAUUCAUAAUAAAAUAAAUAAGAAAUAAGAUAGAAAAUUACUUUAUCCCCUCUAAUAAUAUCUAUUAAUAACAUCCCCUUAUCUCCUAAA